GGAGCUUGUUGGUUGGGUCAAGAAUGAACCGACGCAUGACGGCAUGCUGAUCCUGGGUUUCUAGUCGUCCUUUUUAACCUGCAAAGAAGCAUUUGCAGACGUUGUCUCAUGGGUACCGCUUGCCAACUUUGGAGCCAGGUUCACAGAGGCUCUGAUGCUUUUUGGUUGAUUGCUGGUGAGAAUGGCCGGUGGUGGCUGCAGUGGUAGCCUGAGGAAGGCCGAGCUGCCCUCCCUGGGAAUCACUCAGAUGCCCCAAGAUGUCCAUUGGGAAGCUCCCAGGACAGCACUUUUUAUACAGAGGACACCGCCUCGGCCCCACGUCCUUAGAGGCCAGAGCACAUCUGAAAACUGCAAUCACAGCCGUCCGCUGGAAAAACGUUUCGAAGCACAGUGGCCAGCGAGCGAGCACGUGGCUACUCCCUGUUGCAUGUCAAAUCCACACAGAUGUCAGCGGCAGCUGCUCGGCAGCCCAGCCCUGGGCCUGGGUGGGUUCAUGUCCAAUCUUGUUCGAUCACUAGAUGAUUCUAACAUCGAAAUAAACCUCUUUUUAUAUGGCGUUACUGUUCUUUUUAAAUCAUGGUUCUUAAAGAUAA
RNAcentral lists this long non-coding RNA (593 nucleotides) under Pan troglodytes (chimpanzee). RNAcentral's name for it is "long non-coding RNA NONPTRT017667". Lineage: Eukaryota; Metazoa; Chordata; Mammalia; Primates; Hominidae. The record is from RNAcentral.